This 492-nucleotide ribosomal RNA is filed under the name uncultured bacterium. RNAcentral describes it as "partial 16S ribosomal RNA". It matches the Rfam family "Bacterial small subunit ribosomal RNA", at positions 29 to 507 of the family's 1533-position model. The record is from RNAcentral.
AGUGAACGCUGGCGGUAGGCCUAACACAUGCAAGUCGAACGGCAGCACAGUAAGAGCUUGCUCUUACGGGUGGCGAGUGGCGGACGGGUGAGGAAUACAUCGGAAUCUACUUUUUCGUGGGGGAUAACGUAGGGAAACUUACGCUAAUACCGCAUACGACCUACGGGUGAAAGCAGGGGAUCUUCGGACCUUGCGCGAUUGAAUGAGCCGAUGUCGGAUUAGCUAGUUGGCGGGGUAAAGGCCCACCAAGGCGACGAUCCGUAGCUGGUCUGAGAGGAUGAUCAGCCACACUGGAACUGAGACACGGUCCAGACUCCUACGGGAGGCAGCAGUGGGGAAUAUUGGACAAUGGGCGCAAGCCUGAUCCAGCCAUACCGCGUGGAUGAAGAAGGCCUUCGGGUUGUAAAGCCCUUUUGUUGGGAGAGAAAAGCAGCAGGUUAAUACCCCGCUGUUCUGACGGUACCCAAAGAAUAAGCACCGGCUAACUUCGUG